GAACCAGUCUCGCUGAAUCUCUUUGUAUAAGAGAACGGGGAAACCAAUAUGACCAGAUACUUCACAAAAUUGUGUUGAUGGCAUAUAUGAUUUCUUUACUAGGGUCUAGGGGUGAAUUUGAGGGCGUGCGCCAUGAGCGGAUGACCUAAGAUAGGGCGGCUCUCUUUCGUCCAAACCCGACAGCUAACCUCGUAAGCGUUAUGAAGAGAGGCA
This 213-nucleotide small RNA is filed under the name Paenibacillus sp. RNAcentral describes it as "c-di-AMP sequence". It matches the Rfam family "c-di-AMP riboswitch aptamer (ydaO/yuaA leader)". From Rfam's summary of the family: This family represents a conserved RNA structure found upstream of the ydaO and yuaA genes in Bacillus subtilis and related genes in other bacteria. The record is from RNAcentral. Lineage: Bacteria; Bacillati; Bacillota; Bacilli; Caryophanales; Paenibacillaceae. RNAcentral also lists the same sequence under 1 other name.